UUAUGGGUCCACAUGCCGCACACAAACUUUACUUGCGGUGAUUUUUCCUCCAUUAAACCCAAACUCAUCAACUCCAUACACAUUCCGGAACAAAGACAUGAUGCUCCCCUCGCAUCAACCUCAACUCUUCCUCUCCCUCUCCAUCCUCCUCUCCACAACCUCCAUAGUUCGAGCCAGCAACAGCUUCAUCUACGCCUCCUGCUUCCCCUCCCAAUACCCAUCCAACACCCCCUUCCAAUCCAACCUCCAAUCCCUCCUCUCCUCCCUCGCCAACUCUGCCACAUCCUCCUCCUACAACAGCUUCGCCUUCGGAAACUCUUCCUCCGCCUACGGCCUCUACCAGUGCCGCCAUGACCUGAGCGCCGCCGAGUGCUCCUCUUGCGUCCAGAGCGCGGUGGGCCAAGUGUUGCUCGUGUGCCCCGAAGGCUACGCGGCGGCUCUGCAGCUGGAUGGUUGUCUGGUGCGCUACAGCAAAGAUGAUUUUUUGGGGAAGUUGGACACAUCGGUGGCGUACAAGAGAUGCAGCAGUGAGUUGGGCGGAGGGGACGGGGGGGAGUUCUUGAGGCGGCGGGAUGAUGUGCUUGAUGAUUUAGGGAGCGGGGAGGGAUUUAAGGUCAGUAGCUCGGGGAAAGUACAGGGUUUUGCGGAGUGCGUGGGAGAUUUGAGUCCUGGUGACUGCGCGACUUGUCUGGCUCAGGCUGUGGGGCAGCUUAAGAGCAUGUGCGGCGCGUCGCUUGCGGCAGAUUUGUUUCUGGAGCAGUGUUACGCGCGAUUCUGGGCGUCUGGGUAUUAUCCUCGCGCCGCUGCGGCAGCAGGUUUGUUGCCGAUUACACUGAUGACGACAUUGGAAGGACAGUGGCAAUUAUAGUGGGCAUAUUGGCCGGGGUGGCUCUCUUAGUGGUCUUCAUUUCCUUUGUGAAAAGAGCUUGUUAACAAUCAGAGGCGCUCCUACCGACCUCAUGUAACCUUCAUUCAGCGUUAGGAUUGCAAUACUUAGUGUUGUUCUAUUAUUAUAAAAAGAAGAAAAAAAGUUGUGUGGAAGUAGAUUCUCUAUCUAGCACAACGUUCGAAAGCAGGUUUUGUUUGGAAUUGUUCGUCUUAAAUGGAUAAAAAUUUGAGUGGGACGCAACUCCACUCUCGUGAUCAAAUUUCAAAAGUAGCAGAAGAGCACUUGGGGCUUUUCACGCAGCAAAUGGAGGCUAGAAUACAUAUCAUCUGGCAUCAGAUCAGGGGGAGAAUAUAUUCGGCUUCACGAAAGCAUUUUUGAAUCAUUAAUAAAAACAGAUUAGCCGGUAUUGAAAAUUAUGGAAAGAUUAGUUGGGGUUGCUUUUUUUUUCUUCCUUUAGUUUUUGUUUUAGUCAAAGGGGGCAAAGGAUUGGGUUUUUAUAUGUCAUAAUCCCUAGCA
Phalaenopsis equestris is the source of this 1405-nucleotide RNA transcript. It is a transcript of the gene named cysteine-rich repeat secretory protein 15-like, with no coding region annotated. The transcript is spliced from 3 exons. Lineage: Eukaryota; Viridiplantae; Streptophyta; Magnoliopsida; Asparagales; Orchidaceae. The record is from RefSeq and is a predicted model, not a curated record.